This 435-nucleotide ribosomal RNA is filed under the name uncultured bacterium. Its description in RNAcentral is "partial 16S ribosomal RNA". It matches the Rfam family "Bacterial small subunit ribosomal RNA", at positions 28 to 507 of the family's 1533-position model. The record is from RNAcentral.
GAUGAACGCUGGCGGUAUGCUUAACACAUGCAAGUCGAACGGACUCUUCGGAGUUAGUGGCGGACGGGUGAGUAACGCGUGAGAAUCUGGCUUUGGGUUCGGGACAACCACUGGAAACGGUGGCUAAUACCGGAUGUGCCGAGAGGUAAAAGAGAAAUUGCCUGAAGAUGAGCUCGCGUCUGAUUAGCUAGUUGGUGAGGUAAAGGCUCACCAAGGCAGCGAUCAGUAGCUGGUCUGAGAGGAUGACCAGCCACACUGGGACUGAGACACGGCCCAGACUCCUACGGGAGGCAGCAGUGGGGAAUUUUCCGCAAUGGGCGAAAGCCUGACGGAGCCAUACCGCGUGAGGGAAGAAGGCUCUUGGGUUGUAAACCUCUUUUCUUAGGGAAGAACAAACUGACGGUACCUAAGGAAUCAGCAUCGGCUAACUCCGUG